GAACGCACCUUGCGCCCUUUGGUAUUCCGAAGGGCAUGCCUGUUUGAGUAUCAUUAAUAUCUCACUCUUGAUUUCCUUUGUGGGAUCCAGACGUGGACUUUGGAGGCUUGUGCUGGCCAUCACUGGUCGGCUCCUCUUAAAUGCAUUAGCGGAACUCUAUGCGGUCCCAGCCUCGGUUUGAUAAUCCUAUCUAUGCUGUCGCUGUUGGACUGUGCUGUUUGGCUUACAGUUGUCUUCGGACUGUCACAAUUGUGGCAUAACUUUUAAACUUGAUCUCAAAUCAGGUAGGACUACCCGCUGAACUUAAG
Molecule: unclassified non-coding RNA, 308 nt
Filed under: uncultured fungus
Lineage: Eukaryota; Fungi
Description: sequence contains 5.8S rRNA gene
Rfam family: 5.8S ribosomal RNA (bases 1-53)
Source: RNAcentral